RNAcentral lists this non-coding RNA (21 nucleotides) under Caenorhabditis elegans. Lineage: Eukaryota; Metazoa; Nematoda; Chromadorea; Rhabditida; Rhabditidae. The record is from RNAcentral.
UAGGUUAUCAGUUGGGUUUGC